GCUCUUUCGCACGCGACGAUGAUGACGGUAGCGUGAGAAGAAGCCCCGGCUAACUUCGUGCCAGCAGCCGCGGUAAUACGAAGGGGGCUAGCGUUGUUCGGAAUUACUGGGCGUAAAGGGCGCGUAGGCGGUUUAUCAAGUCAGGCGUGAAAGCCCCGGGCUCAACCUGGGAAUUGCGUUUGAUACUGGUAGACUUGAGUUCGGGAGAGGUGAGUGGAAUUCCCAGUGUAGAGGUGAAAUUCGUAGAUAUUGGGAAGAACACCGGUGGCGAAGGCGGCUCACUGGACCGAUACUGACGCUGAGGCGCGAAAGCGUGGGGAGCAAACAGGAUUAGAUACCCUGGUAGUCCACGCCGU
Molecule: ribosomal RNA, 356 nt
Filed under: bacterium Fuku2-ISO-32
Lineage: Bacteria
Description: bacterial SSU rRNA
Rfam family: Bacterial small subunit ribosomal RNA
Source: RNAcentral